RNAcentral lists this ribosomal RNA (253 nucleotides) under uncultured bacterium. RNAcentral's name for it is "partial 16S ribosomal RNA". It matches the Rfam family "Bacterial small subunit ribosomal RNA", at positions 524 to 776 of the family's 1533-position model. The record is from RNAcentral.
UACGUAGGGUGCGAGCGUUGUCCGGAAUUAUUGGGCGUAAAGGGCUCGUAGGCGGUUUGUCGCGUCGGGAGUGAAAACCUUGGGCUUAACUCAGGGCUUGCUUUCGAUACGGGCAGACUAGAGGUAUGCAGGGGAGAACGGAAUUCUUGGUGUAGCGGUGAAAUGCGUAGAUAUCAAGAGGAACACCUGAGGUGAAGACGGGUUGCUGGGCCGACACUGACGCUGAUGCGCGAAAGCCAGGGGAGUAAACGGG